UUUUCUCAUUACGGGUACAUAGCAGAACGCCCUGUUGCUAGCAGCGGGUUGCCGUGCUCCUGCCGAGCCAGAUCUGCUCUGUGCCGGUGUCAGGUGAUGUCCAGCCUUCCUCCCCAGCCGUGAGCAGCUUUUCUGAGAUGUAAAAAGGCAGCAGGAGGCUCAGCUCUGUGCCCUUGAAAGCCUCCCUAGAGGAGCACAGGUUGCCCCCGAUGCUCUUGGGUUAAGAUGCUCUCGGGACCACACGUGGUGGGGACUGGCCAUCAUGUGCAGCGCUGUGUCCAGGCACAAUUUCCCUUCCUGCGGCUGUUCCUCGCAGAAAGGUUUUGCGGGUGCUUUGCAGCCUUGGGAGGAGGAGAGGAGCACUCCAAAUGCAGACCAGCACUGACCUGUGCCGGUCCUUCCCAAGACCCUGCCCAGAGCAAGAGCGGCGGUGCCGAGGAAGGGAACCCAGCCUGGCCAGCAGGCGAGUUGCUGCAUGAGAACUUCAUAUCAAAAGGUGGAAGGGGCAUAGAGAAACAGGGGUUUUAUUCUAUGCGAGGGUCUCCCCCUGUCCCUGUUAGGAUGCUGGCUCCACCACCACUGCUGGCUCUCCUGGGAAGAGGCAGCGCAGGGCACUGCCAUCCUCACGGCUGCCAAAGCGGGGCGAGAUGGGGCCGAGCGCCUCUGGCAAACAGCAGCUGUGGUGGGGAGAUGGAUGAGAAACUUCAGGGAGGUGAGAAGACUUGGGUUUAAGGAUGACAAAUGGGAGUGCUCCUGGCAGCACGUCAGUCUUCACAGCCAUAUUUCAGUUCCCAGAUGGGCGCUUUUUAUUUAGGGUCGCCGGCGUUUCCCAGCCGGCCACCGCUGCGGCUCGCGUGAGCGUGGGGCUGGGUUUGCCCCCUGGACACCCAGAGGGGCAAGCAGAGUUGCAGCCUUUGUUUUCUUGUGGGCUCAAACCAAUUCUUUUAUCCAUGUUCCCUGAUUUUUCUGUGAAUCGCUUGUUGAUGUGGGAGUUUCGUUGUCCCAGAGCGGGUGCCCUGGGCGCAGCUGUGUUCCCCCACCUGUCCCCGUGCAAUGAACUCGGUGAGGCCGUACCCCAUGGUGGGAGGAGGCGCCAGCCUCUGAGAAAAGUUGAGGGGUGACAGGCACACAUCAGCCCCGAACAAAAAUUAGUUGCAUUCAUCAGAAGAUGAGGUUAAGCCCCUUCAGCUGAUACCCAUUGUUCUGGGCUGUGUCCACCCCGAGCAUCCACACAGACCCUUUCAGGAGGGGCGAUUUCUAUUUUCUCUUGCUGUCCAAACACAAGAAUAAAUUAGACCCCAACAACCA
RNAcentral lists this long non-coding RNA (1308 nucleotides) under Anser brachyrhynchus (Pink-footed goose). RNAcentral's name for it is "lncRNA (ENSABRG00000012286.1)". The record is from RNAcentral. Lineage: Eukaryota; Metazoa; Chordata; Aves; Anseriformes; Anatidae.